Long non-coding RNA from Cyclopterus lumpus (lumpfish), 1547 nucleotides. RefSeq lists it as uncharacterized. The record is from RefSeq and is a predicted model, not a curated record. NCBI's taxonomy places the organism in Eukaryota, Metazoa, Chordata, Actinopteri, Perciformes, Cyclopteridae. The transcript has 3 exons.
AGUAAAAAAGUAGUUGUUGAAUAUAAACGAUGUAGCUACUUGACUUUAACUUUAUUUGAUGCCAAUAUUUAGAAAGCUGGCCGACUUCAGCGAUGACUAUUGUUGUCUUUCGUUGAAUUACUUAGAAUAUCUAAUACAAAAAAAAAAAAAAAAAGAAACAGCAAACAACAGACAGGAAAGUAUGUCGUCCUGUAAGCUGACAUCAUACAUGGCCCUGUAUUCCUGCACGAUCUUCUUCAGGUCGACCUCAGAGCGGCUCACCAGCACCCUGAUCAGUGUGUCGUCACAUGUGCCGUGACCCUGAGAGAACGGAGCAAAGAGUCCAACCCGCUUGUGCAGCCAGCAGUGGUCCUUGAGCCUGGAGGUGUCCCUCCGUCCAUCCAUUCAUCCACCCAUCUGAUAAUAAUUGUAUAAAAUAUCCCGACAACCACAGGCCAGAAGAUCUACUGUGGAAAUGUAGGGUCUUUGUGUUGGAUUUUGGUGAACCUCUGACCUUUGCUUACACAUACACCAUUUCCUGUAUAUUACUAAAUGUGCAACAAUCGCAGGUAAAACUUGGGGAAAAAAACAUUGUAGUUAGAAUUUAUUAAGAGAUUAACGCUCGAAAGCUCAGUUGAUCUGCUUCUUCAAGAAUGUGUGGGUGUGCAGAUUUGAUUGACAGUGACCUGAAACUGGCAGCAUAACCAAACAACCCAACUUAUAUAUAUAUAGUCCAAAAAACCUGUCCAUCUGGACUAUAUAUAUAUAUAUAUAUAUAUAUAUAUAUAUCUUAUAUGGCUAAAUCCUGAACAAGAGAACUCCUCAUUCAUAAAAAGUGAAACCAAAUGUGAUCAGGACAGAAAUGAAGAAAACCUCCGUACCAAUGUCAACCAGACAGUCCUCAAUGUCUCCCUUCAGCUCCAUGUCCAGGGCUUUGGGCAACGUGACGUCACUGACACUGGCGUAGUGCUGGAAUGCUGCCAGGUGAACACACAAACAACAGGUAUUUAGGAUCAAAUACAUCUGUUUGACGGGUAGUCAAACAGAAAGCAGAUGAUGAGAUCAUUGAGUGUGCCCCAAACAUCCCCGGAACAGUCUUCAGGUGGUUUGAUCAGAUCUUUAUCAUGAGCUGCCAGAAUUGAUACUCAAAACAAAGCAUUGAUAUGAACUACGGAGCAUCGUCAUGUUGAAAGAGUAUGAGUGCUUAAAUAAACCUUCACUUGAUACAUACAUAGUUUAACAAAGAAUUGUUCAAAAGAACUUGAGCCUACUUUGCUCCGUGUUUAUUCUACACUGCUGGGUGUGUUCCACCUGCUACCUGACAGAGUGUGGUUCCACCUGUUUUCCAGGUGUGUGUGUGUGUGUGUGUGUGUGUGUAUACUCUUUGAAAUAAAGGUUUUGUCAGUUUCAGCCUCUGAUGAAUCAACCUGACACAUUUCAAGCACUCACUCUUUGCGAGCUGCAGCGCGUUCCGGGUGGUCAGGAUGUCGAUGAAGGUCGAAACAUUGAUUCCUUUGGUAUUCUCACCGGCCUCGAACAGAAUCUACAGGCAGAACACAGGAACACGA